RNAcentral lists this transfer RNA (67 nucleotides) under Thelepus plagiostoma. RNAcentral's name for it is "tRNA-Lys". Lineage: Eukaryota; Metazoa; Annelida; Polychaeta; Terebellida; Terebellidae. The record is from RNAcentral.
CCUUCCGGAGCUGUACUUCUUAGCACUUGCCUUUUAAGCAAACUAAACCUUUUCUAGGUCGAAAGGA